RNAcentral lists this ribosomal RNA (460 nucleotides) under uncultured bacterium. RNAcentral's name for it is "partial 16S ribosomal RNA". It matches the Rfam family "Bacterial small subunit ribosomal RNA", at positions 338 to 795 of the family's 1533-position model. The record is from RNAcentral.
CCUACGGGCGGCAGCAGUGAGGAAUAUUGGUCAAUGGACGAGAGUCUGAACCAGCCAAGUAGCGUGAAGGAUGACUGCCCUAUGGGUUGUAAACUUCUUUUAUAUGGGAAUAAAACGUUCCACGUGUGGGAUUUUGUAUGUACCAUAUGAAUAAGGAUCGGCUAACUCCGUGCCAGCAGCCGCGGUAAUACGGAGGAUCCGAGCGUUAUCCGGAUUUAUUGGGUUUAAAGGGAGCGUAGGUGGAUUGUUAAGUCAGUUGUGAAAGUUUGCGGCUCAACCGUAAAAUUGCAGUUGAAACUGGCAGUCUUGAGUACAGUAGAGGUGGGCGGAAGUCGUGGUGUAGCGGUGAAAUGCUUAGAUAUCCCGAAGAACUCCGAUUGCGAAGGCAGUUCACUGGACUGCAACUGACACUGAGGCUCGAAAGUGUGGGUAUCAAACAGGAUUAGAUACCCCUGUAGUC